AAUGCAGUCGAGCGAACAGAAGGGAGCUUGCUCCCGGAUGUUAGCGGCGGACGGGUGAGUAACACGUGGGUAACCUGCCUGUAAGACUGGGAUAACUCCGGGAAACCGGAGCUAAUACCGGAUAGUUCCUUGAACCGCAUGGUUCAAGGAUGAAAUACGGUUUC
Molecule: ribosomal RNA, 164 nt
Filed under: Bacillus safensis
Lineage: Bacteria; Bacillati; Bacillota; Bacilli; Caryophanales; Bacillaceae
Description: partial 16S ribosomal RNA
Rfam family: Bacterial small subunit ribosomal RNA
Source: RNAcentral